Long non-coding RNA from Orcinus orca (killer whale), 2819 nucleotides. RefSeq lists it as uncharacterized. The record is from RefSeq and is a predicted model, not a curated record. The transcript has 2 exons. NCBI's taxonomy places the organism in Eukaryota, Metazoa, Chordata, Mammalia, Artiodactyla, Delphinidae.
ACUCCCAGGCAACAGGACACCACCUACAGGAGCUCUGGGGGCGGGUGCGAGUCACUGCCGCCAUCGUGGGCUCCAGAGGCAGGCACAGGCCACCACCACGAGACCUGCACGCAGGAGCCUGUCCCCGAUGUCCCAGGAGAACUCAGCACCCGCCCUUAGGAAAUCUGCGAGCAGGCACCAGGCCCUACUGCCAGUGUCCCAGGACCGUACAAGGGCCGCUGUACCUGCAUACCCGAUAUCAAGGGGAUAACGGACAGCAUGUUCUGAGGAAAGAGGCCCCAGGCGUCCAAACUAAAAGCGGUCUCUCGACUCUGGAAAAGAGGGUGGAGUAGAAGGACUUGAGCUCACCUCCUCUCAUGAAAACACCAACAUCACAACUAACUGCUGAACAACCAUCGAUAAAAAAGACGACUGGAACCUACCAAAAAAGAUAUUUUACAUUCAAAGACAAAGAAGCCACAAUGAGACAGCAGGAGGGGCAGUUUCACAAGAUAAUCAAAUCCCAUACCUGCCAGGUGGGUGACCCACAAACUGGAAAGUAACUAUAUUGUAGAGGUUCUCCCACAAGAGAAUCCUGAGCCUCACAUCAAACUUCCCAGCCUGGGGGUCGGGCAUCAAGAGGAAGACGCCCCAAAGCAUUUGGCUUUGAAGGCCAGUGGGACUCGAGUGCAGGAACGCCACAGGACUGGGGGAAACAGAGACUCCACUCUUGGAGGGUACACUGGGACCCAGCACAAAGCAGUAACCCCAUAGGAGCUGGGGCUGGACCUACCUUCGAGUCUUAGAGGGUCUCCUGGGCCGGCAGGGGUUGGCUGUGGCUCACUGGGCGGGGGUGGGGGGGAGAGAAUAACACUGGUGGCAGAAGCCCCAGAGAAUAGGGGCUCUCCUACGCUCUGAUUGGUGUGAGCUCUCCCGGAGGUCCCCAUUUUGGCCCUCACAUCCUGGCCCUACCCAACAGCCUACAGUCUUCAGUGCUGGAACACCUCAGGCCAAACACCCAGCAGGAUAGGAACACAGGCCCACCCAUCAGCAGACAGGGUGCCUAAAGCCACCUAAAAACACACCGUUUGACACAGCCCUGCCCACCAGAGGAACAAGACCCAGCUCCACCCACCAGUGGGGAGACACCAGUUCCCCCAACCAGGAAGCCUGCACAAGCCUCAGGAUCAAUCUCAACCACCAGAGGGCACACACCAGAAGAGGAGCUAUAACCCUGCAACCACCAGAAAGGAGACCACAAACACCCAAAGUUAGACAACAUGAGAUGGCAGAGAAAUGUUUCAGAUGAAGGAACAAGACACAAACCUACAAGAACUACUAAGUGAACAGGAGAUAGACAGGCAACCUACCUGAAAAACAGUUUAGAGUAAUGACAGUAAAGAUGAUCCAAGAUCUCAGAAAAAGAAUGGAGGAACAGACAAAGAAGUUAUGAGAGAUGAUUAACAAAGAGCUAGAAGAUUUAAAGAACAAAUGAACAGAGAUGAACAAUACAAUAACCGGAAUGAAAAACACACCAGAACGAAUCAAUAGCAGAAUAACUGAGGCAGAAGAACAAAUAAGUGACCUGGAAGAAAGAAUGAUGGAAAUCACUGCCAUGGAACAGAAUAAAGAAAAAGAUGAAAAGAAAUGAGAACUGUCUCAGAGACCUCUGGGACAACAUUAAACACACCAACAUUCACAUUAUAGGUGGGGGGGGGGGGUCCCAGAAGGAGAAGAGAGAGAGAGAAAGGGCCUGAUAAAAUAUUUGAAGAGAUUAUAGCUGAAAACUUCCCUAACAUGAGAAAGGAAACACUCAAGUCCAGGAAGUGCAGAGAGUCCUGAACAAGAUAAACCCAAGGAGGAACACGCUGGGACAUAUUAAUCAAACUAACAAAAGUUAAAGACAGAAUAAAUAUUAAAAGCAACAAAUAACAUACAAGGGAACCCCCAUAAGGUUAUCAGCUGUUUUUUCAGCAGAAACUCUGCAAGCCAGAAGGGAGUGGCAGAAUAUAUUUAAAGUGAUGAACGGGAAGAACCUACAACCAAGAUUAUUCUACCCAGCAAGGAUCUCAUUCAGAUUCGACAGAGAAAUCAAAAGUUUUACAGACAAGCAAAAGCUGAGAGAAUUCAGCACCACCAAACCAGCAUUACAACAAAUCCUAAACAAAUUUCUCUAGGCAGAAAAGAAAAGGCCACAAAAAGAUACAAGAAAAUUACGAAUAGGGAAGCUCAUGAGUAAAUGCAAACAUAAAGUAAAGGUAGAAAAUCAUCCACACACAAAUAUGAUAUAAAAAUCAGCUGUAAUGAGAAGAGGAGAGUACAAAUGCAGGAUAUAGGAAAUGCAUUUGAAAUUAAGAGAGCAGCAACUAAAAACAAUCUUGUACAUAUAAAGACUGCUAUAGCAAAGCCUCACGGGAACCACAAACCAAAACUCUACAACAGAUACACAUACAAAAAAGAAAAAGAAAUCUAAACACAUAACUAAAGAUGGACAUCAAAUCACAAGACAAAAGAACAGAAGAGGAAGGGAGGAAAAAAGACCUUCAAAAACAAAUCCAAAACAAUUAACAAAAUGUCAAUAAGAACAUUUAUAUUGAUAAUUACUUUAAAUGUAAAUGGAUUAAAUGCUCCAACCAAAAGACACAGACUGGCUGAAUGGAUACAAAACCAAAACCUGUACACUUCAGACCUAGGGACACAUACAAACUGAAAGUGAGGGGAUGGAAAAAGGUAUUCCAUGCAAAUGGAAAUCAAAAGAAAGCUGGAGUAGCAAUACUCAUAUCAGACAAAAUAGACUUUAAAGACUGGUAAGCUGUGACAAAGUGAGAGAGUGGCAUGGA